Long non-coding RNA from Ornithodoros turicata, 1209 nucleotides. RefSeq lists it as uncharacterized. NCBI's taxonomy places the organism in Eukaryota, Metazoa, Arthropoda, Arachnida, Ixodida, Argasidae. The transcript is spliced from 2 exons. The record is from RefSeq and is a predicted model, not a curated record.
CACAUAGAUGGCACCAGGCAAAACCUGUGUCUAGGUCAGAUGUUAGCCUCACGCGCUGAGGGAGGGGCCUGGGCUUGGACAGAUCAAAAACCGUGAGCGCGUGUGAGCGAGACCAGAGCCUGGAGCGGCUGGCCUCGGAUACGGUGCUUGGAACGACUGGCUUAGGAGAACAUUCUCGGUGUAAAGAUUAUACUACGAUGCCUCCCCGGGGGAAGUACUACAGCAGGAGGGCUCCCCCUCCGACACGGUCCUCGCCCGAAGGAGGUGGACCCGCACGCCGGUCCCGUUCCCCGCUCGGAGCCACUUCGGGGACGUCCACGAGGCGGUCGGUAGCCACUUGGACUGUGGUCUCGCAAGGAAGACCGGUUGGCUGGGUGUCACGGUCGAAAUGGAGCUCCCAGCCCCGCCCUGUCUGUGGAGAAAGCCCGUCAAGGGUGCAGCCCCCCUUCCGUGGACUGACCUUGGAGGAGAGACACCCCUGCGAUCCCCCAAUUCCGCUGUCCGAAGAUGAAGCUCGACAACUCUGUCCCCUGUGCGGUGUACCAGAGCUACAUCGGCGUGCACACCGCCAAGGCCAGCUCCAUCAGUCUAAACUUGAAGCCUCCCGAUCAACCGCCCGUGCAACCACUGACGUCUCAGCUGCCCUCGCCACUCUACGACGUCACCGUCCUGACCUUCUGAGGGAAACGGGAACCUCUCCCCUCAUGCGCCCGCAGGUGCCUACCACCUUCCCAACACCCGGCUCCUCCGUACCUCGAGGCCCGGCUGACGAUCACAUGGACGAUACGGUUCUCGACAUGCCUGAUGAAACUGUAACGGUGUGAGCUGCUGGGGAUGUGUGGCAUUUUUCCUCGUUUUAAACUAUCAGAGUUGCAUUUGCAUGCAAUUACUUGUUAACGUAUUGACUUUGUAUUUUCUUCAUGUAUUUUUUCAACAUAUUGUGACUUCUAUUAGAGGGGGGGUAGUUGUGGUGAAUCCGGCCACCACACAUAGAUAGCACCAGGCAAAACCGGUGUCUAGGUCAGAUGUUAGCCUCACGCGCUGUGGGAGGGGCCUGGGCUUGGACAGAUCAAAAACCGUGAGCGCGUGUGAGCGAGACCAGAGCCUGGAGCGGCUGGCCUCGGAUACGGUGCUUGGAACGACUGGCUUAGGAGAACAUUCUCGGUGUAAAGAUUAUGUGAGUUAUUAAAUAUCACGUUUCUUCCUGUA